UGAUCGUUAAAAGAAAUAAAAAAACAGAAAAGCGAAAGAGGAAUUGGUGUGAUUUUUGUGUGCAAUUUAUUUGCAAAUAAUUUAGGCAAUUUUUAUAAUUAGUUAUUAUGGUGUACAGAAGUUUCGUUUUAAAAAAAAUAACGAAUUCUUUUCGACGAAAAAAAAAAUUAAAAAAAAAGUGAAUUCGUAUAUUAAUUAAAUAAUAAGUUUACACAAUUGUUUUACCAAAAAAACUGUAGUUUUUAGAUUGAUUUAUUACAAUUUUCAAUUGUAUUUACAAACGUAAGGAUCGUUCUAGACGUAUUGUGUAUUUUGUCACUGAUUCCUAUGACAUGUUAGGUAAUUUUUGUGAGUAAUUGUACAUAUAGUUCUCUUUUAAUUAAUUAAUUAAUUAUUAUUUUAAAUCGAAUGCAUUUCAGAAACUCCGGCUGAAGUUGGAGUUUUGGAAAUAUGUAUCUUUUGUUCACAUAAAAUUAGUGCUAUUAUUAAUUUUAUAUUGAACAUGAAAAUUUAAAUAGCUAAAAUGUGACGACCGCUGGGAAUAACAGAAAAAUUAUUUUCGUUAGUUUUUGUUUUCUCGCUGCCUUGCACUAAUUUUAUGUGAAUUGAAUUUUGAGACUGUCAAUAACUGAUUUUAGUAUAAAUAUUGGUAAUAAAUACUGCAAAGUAUUUGUACAUAAAUGUAUGUUGUAGCCAAUUUUACUCGUCAUCAGUUUUAGGCAUUAGUUGAGAAAGUUUUUCAGCUCAAUUACAAAAAAAAUAAUAAAUCGAAGAAGCUGCAAGCUCAAAACUGCAUUAAAAAUUUCAGGCAGCACGGAGAUACCACCGUGAUAUUAUUUUUAAUUAUCAUUAAUUAAUUAUACAUAAAUAAAUUAGGAUUAUGUUCGUCGGUGGUCUUCGUGUUGCCCGUCAGUCAGCCUUUUUUGUUGCAACCAUGUUUUUUUGUUUGUUUUUUUGUUUUUGUAACUACGUUUCCAUUUUUCCGAGAUCUCAGUCAGUUGUACAUAAAUUUUACUAAUAAUUGUAAUCUUCCUUUUUAAGUAUGGUCAGUCUAUGUUAAUGUCGACUUAGCAUUCACUAAUGUAAAAAAUAAACAAUGCUAAAUAGCAACAUCUGAGUAUUAAUAUGUAAUUGAAAAUGUUUGGCAUAAAGUUGUUUAUAUCUCUGCCUAAUUACGAAUAAGCUUUGUGUUUUAAAUCUUGAACACAUUGUACAUGAUUUAACAUACAAAAUCAUCUAUUUUAAUUCCGAAAUGAAUACAAGCAGAUUAUUGCUAAACAUAUUUCUUAGUAUUUAAUUUUAUGUUUAAUUUAAAAUCAAUCAUUACCCUAUGUAAAGAAUAAAUCAAUUGAACAAUACUUAUUUCGCUUCCACCAGUUAGUAAAACUGAAAUAUAAAAAUGCGUAUGUUUUUCAAUUGACGGUACAUGAAAUCGUUCAGUAGUAUUAUUUAUGCGUACACGUCUAUCUUUAAAUUCAUUUUUUCUGAUAUUACAAAAACAAUGGAUUAACCUAAACUUAAACACAAAAUGAGCCUUACAAAUGCAUAUUUAACACCUGAAGUUGUUUUUUAUGUUGAACCGUCUGUCUUUCUUUAUACAAACAUUUUAAUUAUCUUUCUGAAAAUUCAAAACGCUUAAUUAAAAUGCAUGCCUUCCAUCAAUUUUCAUUUUAUUCAAUUUGAAAAACCCCCGCAGAAAUAAUUAUGAUUCUUGUCUACAGAGGGCGCAACGCGAAUGCUUCCAUGUUCUUUUCAUCUUAAUUUAAUCUAUGAUAUCUGAUGACAUUUAUCCAACCUUUAUCUACGAUUUUUAUAAUUUGCAAAUGGCUGUGUGAUGAAUUCGUGUUCGUAAUAAGAAAUUUAAAAUUUUAUUGUAAAAAUUUCUGCUUAAAGUCAUGUAAUUGUCGAAAUCUUAGUAACACUUGUUGUGGAUUACAAUAUGUAUAUUGGUUUUUUUUGAAAGUAAUUGUUUUCGUAGUGUUUCUUGUAGUAUGUUUGCACAAUACUAAAUACCUACAGGGUUUUUUUCUUCGUAAGGUCCUUGAUUUCAUUAGAUUUGGUUUGAUUUGUGAAGAAAUGGAACUUCUAGUAUAUCUAGCAAUAAGUGCUAUUUUGAAACGCCUUCCUAUCAAUUACAACGUCUAUGCCAUGUUAUAGUAGAUACUGGAGUAAACAGUGAACUCUAAAGGUGAAAAUUGGGCUCUAACUGAUAUGGACUUGAGCAAAUUGGAUGGAAACCUAGAAUUGUCUGAGUUUGAUUAACUGUUUCUGUAAGCAGAAUAAUUGGUCUGAUUUUCAACUGUUUCUGCAAUGUUUCUCUGGUGAUUGGGAUCGGAGCACACUCAAAUUUCUUAUACAUAUUCUGGUUCAAAUCAUUUUUCAUGGAGUUCUUGCAGGAUAGUAUAGGAAUUUUAAACACACUCUGGACACCAUGUGUAGUUGGGUAGUGAUAGUAGAACUCAUCCACAUUUCAUCCCAAUAUGGAACAGUGUCCUUUAUCCACUGGAAUUAGAAACAACAAGGACUUGCUUUGAGAUGACAUCCUUGGAUUCGAUGGACAAACACUACUUAGAGAUUUGUGACGAUGAGACAUAUUUUUAUUUCCUAGAAUGCUUCUAAUGAGCUGGUCAUAAAAUUCACAGGGUGCUAACAAUGAGGUUUCCAUUAAAUCAUAAUAAACGUACAGGGAGAGACGGUAAAUCAAAUGGCCACGAAACGCGGGGAAGCAGAAUCCCAAUCACGCUUCUUUCUCUUGAUCUUGGAAAGGGAUGCAUUUAAACGUAUUAAAUGGACAAGGAGACAGAAAAUAAGAAGAAUUCAAAACCUGGAGAAGUGGAGUCCCUUUAAUUUUCCCUCCCCUUGGGCGUGAAGGUGCAAUUUCCAGAAAGUAAAUGCAAUCCGAAUUACACUGAUGCAUAAAAGGAAGAUUGCGGUGCGAUGUGUGGCUUAUUUCACUUAUUUCCUUUCAUCAGCAUCUACUAUUAAGAGGCACUUCUCUUUUGUCAGCACUUAGGAAUAAAAUUCGAGCACCGUAUAGUAAACCUCAAGAUCGUCUGACAAAUGGGAGAGAAAUAAAGUU
RNAcentral lists this long non-coding RNA (3079 nucleotides) under Agrilus planipennis (emerald ash borer). RNAcentral describes it as "uncharacterized LOC108741739, transcript variant X1". Lineage: Eukaryota; Metazoa; Arthropoda; Insecta; Coleoptera; Buprestidae. The record is from RNAcentral.